Molecule: ribosomal RNA, 465 nt
Filed under: Vreelandella stevensii
Lineage: Bacteria; Pseudomonadati; Pseudomonadota; Gammaproteobacteria; Oceanospirillales; Halomonadaceae
Description: partial 16S ribosomal RNA
Rfam family: Bacterial small subunit ribosomal RNA
Source: RNAcentral
CCUACGGGCGGCAGCAGUGGGGAAUAUUGGACAAUGGGCGAAAGCCUGAUCCAGCCAUGCCGCGUGUGUGAAGAAGGCCUUCGGGUUGUAAAGCACUUUCAGUGGGGAAGAAAGCCUUGGGGCUAAUACCCUCGAGGAAGGACAUCACCCACAGAAGAAGCACCGGCUAACUCCGUGCCAGCAGCCGCGGUAAUACGGAGGGUGCGAGCGUUAAUCGGAAUUACUGGGCGUAAAGCGCGCGUAGGCGGUCUGAUAAGCCGGUUGUGAAAGCCCCGGGCUCAACCUGGGAACGGCAUCCGGAACUGUCAGGCUAGAGUGCAGGAGAGGAAGGUAGAAUUCCCGGUGUAGCGGUGAAAUGCGUAGAGAUCGGGAGGAAUACCAGUGGCGAAGGCGGCCUUCUGGACUGACACUGACGCUGAGGUGCGAAAGCGUGGGUAGCGAACAGGAUUAGAUACCCCUGUAGUC